Lytechinus pictus (painted urchin) is the source of this 3518-nucleotide long non-coding RNA. RefSeq lists it as uncharacterized. NCBI's taxonomy places the organism in Eukaryota, Metazoa, Echinodermata, Echinoidea, Temnopleuroida, Toxopneustidae. The transcript is spliced from 4 exons. The record is from RefSeq and is a predicted model, not a curated record.
GUUGUGCCGCGAUCUCUACAAAAUAGUACAAGGGCGAUGAAAAAAUCGUUGGCGAAUGUUGUGGCAUCUGGCGCUGACACGACCAACUCUCUCUGUCUAUCCCCAACAGUUUAUUUAUUUCGCAAGAAUUCCGUGGAGGAAACAUUUUUUUCCAUGUUUGAAGUCUUGCUUGGCGAUGGGAUGAGUCAUUUUCUGAAGCAAUGAGAUGGAAGGAACCUUCAGAGCUCCAACAAACAAGGAUUUAUGUGAGGCAUUGUGUUUUCCACAUUGCAGACCUCUGUAUCACCAACUUAAAUGAGCCUCCACCUGUCCACCAUGAUCUCCCCCAAACUUAAUCCACACCUCUUCUUCAGGAAUUGCCCCAUCGUGAGUUGUGAGAAAUCCAUUCCUGUGGAAAGAUGAUGGAACAUGAACAUAUGGUCUGUGACUCUGCUAUGGACCUAGCGAAUCACUGUCGACUGUCCAUGGUUCAAGUGAGGAUUGGCAACCCUGGUCAUUUCUUGAUUACCUAAAGAAUGCAACCACACCAUGCAAAAUCUUAUGCAGGAAUGGGGCUACAGCAGUGAUGGAGACACUACCUUUGACUGUGUGAAGAUUAGACAAUGCAAUUCCUGUUGGUCAGCCCCCCACCCCAAGGAGCCAUGCACUGCCAGAGAUCUUGAGCCAGGUCUUCAGUGGUUAUCCAUGGAUAAGAAGAACAGAGACAAUAAAGAUAGUGAGGUAUCUUGUUGAUUUCGGCGUGACCAUCUUCCUGACGCUUCUUCCAAACAAUGAAACUGGAGGCUCUUUUCACGAAUCUUGGAAUAUGUACAAUUGAAUGUAUAGCUGCUUCAAGUGUGAUUCCAGCUUUUUCAAGAGCUUCUUGACGUUCUACUUCUACUGGCGUUUAUUGUAGUUAACACGUCCUGUGAAUGUUUUUAGGAGGCCAGUUUUGCCACAAACACAGUAAACCUCAAGUUCACAUAUAGUUAAAAAAACAGGGACUACUUGUAACAUCAUCUAGGAAAAAGUUCUUGUUACAAAUUGGACAUGGCGAAACUUUUUAUUCAUUAUGUCUUCGGGAUUUACUGAGGUACUCACUACAAAAGGAAGUUGGGGUCAAAAGGUCAAGGUUUUGUUCAACUUGGUCACAUUCCUUUAUUUCUGCAUCAAUUAUGUUCACACUUACUACAUCUGAUCCUUGGGUAAUACUACAUGUACUUUCAUUAGGAUAAUGGGUCAAAUGCCUAAUGUUAAUAAUCAACUGAAAAUUACUUAGUCAGGAAAAGUGGCUUAUUGGAUUCCCUAUCUUUUGCUUAUAAUUUUUUUUUUUUCAAAUUUAAUAUUUCUUUAUCAAAUCUGACAAAUUCAUUAUUUUUUUAUCAAUAAUUAUUAAACGAUAAGUAAUAAGAGUUUUGAGAAACAUGUGCAAGUAUAUGUACCAACAUCCAUGUGCAGAAUAUUUGCUGGAAGGGUACAUGCUACAGAGAAAUUUUAAAGUGUGCAACCAUAGGAUACAGGAAAAAAAGUUCUUGCAGUCUUUGAUGUACUUUUAAAGAUCAAGAUAGAAUUCACCCAAAACAUCUAUUAGGUGUUAGUAGCCGAAAAUAUCCUAGAUUAGUUCAACACUAUUCAUCUUGAAGAAGAGACGAGUCAAAGCAUUUUAAACAAUUUUAAAAGUUUCCUGCGCUAUAUUUGUUUUAAUUGAUAUGCAGUUAGAAUUGAUCAAAUUCUGAAUGCAAGCUGACAAAUUUAUUUAGAAGGUGGGUAUUAACAUGAAUGUAUUUCAAUACAAGUAAGACGUCUCUGGCAGUAUUGCCUGCAUUAUUAUGCAAUUCAAUAUAGUCGCAUUUCAGAAGUUCGGUAUGGAAAUGGGUGGAUAAUGGAAAUAGUAUUUGUCGAGUUAAUUGCCACUAAUUGAAUAAUAUUAAAUUCAAUUAUUAAUAAAAAACAGACUUCUGGAAUGUCUCUCUACAGUUAUUAUUCAUGACAUGUCUAAUUAUACUAGACUAGUAGGAAAAUGUCAGCCAAUAUAAUAUUCAAAUUUUCAAUUUUUUUUAGUUCCAAUAAUUUAGUAAUGUUUCACUUCAAACUUUAAUUCAAAGACUACAGGCAUCACUUCUUAUACGCCCGUCUUGACGGGACAUAUUAUGGUAUCACACUCGGUGUCCGUCCGUCUGUUAACUUUUCCUUGUAAACGCGAUAACUUCAGUUGAACUUAAUCUAGGCUCAUAUAAUUUGGUGCACGAUACUAGCAUGGAUCCCAGGAAGGCAGGAAGCCUAUUGAUUUUGAGGUCAGAAGGUCAAAGGUGAAGUCACCAUUUUCCACUUUUCUUGCUUGACCAAUAGCUCAAUUUUCCAUGUUAUAGACGGGCGUAUUAUGUGCCCGCCUUAGCAACACUCUUGUUCGAUUUGAAGUGUAUUGAUUAAGAAGUUAUAGCAUGUAUGUUAAAUAGUAGGUUAAAAACAACUAAAAUAUGUAUUAAAAUGGCAAUGUAUUAUAUUGUGUCAUGAUAUGAAUUAUGACUGUAAGGUUUACAUUUCUAGUCAGUUAAAAUGCAAAGAACAACGAGAUUCAGAUUAUUUUUACAAAUUCAACCAUUUUGAAAAUAUAAAGGAAUGAGCUACAUGUGCAUGUCAUAUCCAAUCUAAUCAAUUACCAUUUGUCACUUAUCUGAUUUGUAAUUUAUAUUCAUAGUAUUUUUAAGUCUUGUAUCAUUGCAUGAAAAAAAUUUAUCCACGGGGUACUGAAUUUGCCGGGCAUGUGAAGGUGAAAGUAAUUUUUCAGUUUUUUUUUAACAUUGUUAAAAUUAAAUGUACACUGUAAUUGAUAUGCAUACAACGAUAGAUAACCAAUUUUUGUGGCUGUGUGAGUGGUAGAUCACAUGAAAUUUGCAAAUAUUAUAUUUAAAAAUGACUGAUUAUUUCAUAUUUAUAUUUAUUCUUUUUUUUGGAGGGGGUAUAUAAUGCAGACCUGACAAGUGACCAUGGUUUUCACUUAGGAGUUCAAUCCCUUCUCCUUUCAUCCAUAUUUUAUAGCUUUUAUAAAGUUACGAGGGUUUCAUUGACCCUACAGACAUGUAGAGAUUGAAUUUUACCUCCUGGAAUCUAAUCCAAACACAUAAAAUGAAGAGUAUCCAUAUCAGGUAAUGGUUAAUGAUUAUGUAUUAAACACAUUUUUUUCCAAAACACAUAUAAAGUAUUCUAAUCUUGGGCUAUCAUGAAUUAAGUUUUAGGCUAUUUACCCAUAUUUCUCACGUUAGACGUCACUUAGUCCAUAAUUCAUUUCCAUAUCGGUUAUACAUGCUCAUUAAAAAAUAUUUUAUUGGAAGGUUUCAUUCAGGUAAAAUUAUUGUCUUGAUGUUAAUUUAUAUAUAUAUCUUUGUGCAUGUAAUGUCACUGGAGGGCAAAUUUUCAAAUGUGGUUCAAUAAAUAGAUGAAUGUGAAUGAAUCUCUAUUUGUAUCUAAACUUCAUUAAAUAUGUAGUAAUUCACUGCAAUUUUAUUGUAAAUUUUGAAUAAAAUUUGUUUAUAUAAUCU